AGAGUUUGAUCCUGGCUCAGGAUGAACGCUAGCGGCAAGCUUAACACAUGCAAGUCGAACGGUAACUCUUGGUGCUUGCACCAAAAGACGAGUGGCGGACGGGUGCGUAACGCGUAUGCAAUCUACCUUUUACUAGGGUAUAGCCCAGAGAAAUUUGGAUUAAUCCCCUAUAAUAUCAUAAAAUCGCAUGGUUUUAUGAUUAAAGCUUCGGUGGUAAAAGAUGAGCAUGCGUCCUAUUAGUUUGUAGGUGAGGUAACGGCUCACCUAGACUACGAUAGGUAGGGGCCCUGAGAGGGGGAUCCCCCACACUGGUACUGAGACACGGACCAGACUCCUACGGGAGGCAGCAGUGAGGAAUAUUGGACAAUGGACGAAAGUCUGAUCCAGCUAUGCCGCGUGCAGGAUGACAGCCCUACGGGUUGUAAACUGCUUUUAUACAGGAAGAAAAACCCCGACGUGUCGGGGCUUGACGGUACUGUAAGAAUAAGGAUCGGCUAACUCCGUGCCAGCAGCCGCGGUAAUACGGAGGAUCCAAGCGUUAUCCGGAAUUAUUGGGUUUAAAGGGUCCGCAGGCGGUUUUUUAAGUCAGAGGUGAAAUCCUACAGCUCAACUGUAGAAUUGCCUUUGAAACUGAAAGACUUGAGUUAUUGUGAAGUGGUUAGAAUGUGUGGUGUAGCGGUGAAAUGCAUAGAUAUCACACAGAAUACCAAUUGCGAAGGCAGAUCACUAACAAUCAACUGACGCUCAGGGACGAAAGCGUGGGUAGCGAACAGGAUUAGAUACCCUGGUAGUCCACGCCGUAAACGAUGGAUACUAGCUGUAUGUCUACCUCAGGUAGAUGUGUGGCCAAGCGAAAGUGAUAAGUAU
This 867-nucleotide ribosomal RNA is filed under the name marine metagenome. RNAcentral describes it as "bacterial SSU rRNA". It matches the Rfam family "Bacterial small subunit ribosomal RNA", at positions 8 to 867 of the family's 1533-position model. The record is from RNAcentral.